UGUGGCUGCUUGGAGAAGUAGCAGAGAAACAUUUGUCUGUUUUUUGAGGGUGGCCAGGGUUGGUUUUGGAGCUUUGAUUUUAGCAAUGGCAGAAACAAUCUGGAAACCUUUGUGGAUUUUGUUACUGGUGCUGAAUUAUGCUGUGCACUGUGAUGCAGGAAGUGUUUACAGACAUGGUUGCACAAACGAUGGUGCUCAGGAUGGGACCACUGAAAUGACUCCUGCUCAGGCAAGCUCUGAUUCUGGAUUUGGGCCUAGUCAAGAACCUUAUUUUCAG
Colossoma macropomum (tambaqui) is the source of this 277-nucleotide long non-coding RNA. RefSeq lists it as uncharacterized. The record is from RefSeq and is a predicted model, not a curated record. NCBI's taxonomy places the organism in Eukaryota, Metazoa, Chordata, Actinopteri, Characiformes, Serrasalmidae. The transcript is spliced from 3 exons.